Molecule: non-coding RNA, 103 nt
Organism: Triticum urartu
Lineage: Eukaryota; Viridiplantae; Streptophyta; Magnoliopsida; Poales; Poaceae
Source: Rfam
AUCCCUUCGGGGACAUCCAACAAAAUUGGAACGAUACAGAGAAGAUUAGCAUGGCCCCUGCGCAAGGAUACCUUGCACAAAUCGAGAAAUGGUCCAAUUUUUU